This is a long non-coding RNA of Gallus gallus (chicken), 3088 nucleotides long. NCBI's taxonomy places the organism in Eukaryota, Metazoa, Chordata, Aves, Galliformes, Phasianidae. The record is from Ensembl.
GGAGAGCUUUAUUUGGAAGGACACUGGGGGAGGGCUGAUUAAACAGGCUUCUGGCUGCAUUCAAUUUUAUCUGGUUCGGGGAGAUUUUGCACCUUUCUUGGAGACUGUACUAGCUGGGAUUAGCACAUUCCAUUUCCUGCACUCCUCAUAAGGCUGAGAACUAAAGAAAAUUAAAAUAAAGAGCUGAUCAUGCCGAACAUGAUUUUCUCUUCCUGUAUACCAGCCUAGCCCUGCUGACUUCAGAAGAAUGUCUCCUGAUCUGUUCUGGUAAGAGAUGAGAAAGCCACUGAUUUUCUACCUUAGAUAAGUUGCUGGCACAACAGCAGAAAUACUGCAUGUGUUGGAGAAAAAAAAAAAAAACACAGUGGGCACAAACAGAAAGUCCCACACAGCUCAGUUAGUUUAACUUAAGAAAUGUUUUCUCUCAAAAAAUGCCAAUAAGCUAGAGCAACAUUAUAUUUAAUAGUGUGGAAAAAUUCCACAAUAUAGCCAUAUGAGAAAUGUAUUUAAUUUUCCUUUUUUAAGCAAGUCAGCAAGUGAGUGCAUAUUACUAAGUUUGCUAGCGCAGCCUAGAAGAGCAUAUUGAAAGAUCCUCUAUAAUGCACAAUUAGAUGCAAAGUUAAAAUGGAGUGCUUUGUGUAGCUGCAGAGCACUUUGCUACACUGAUUGGUUUCAGAUGCUGUGAAUCUCCAGUCUUGUUACUGGCAGACAUUAGAACAGCAUAAACUUUUUGUCUCUUAUUCUCUUCUUAAUGUACAGGGCAUGGUGGGACAGAAUAAACAUAGCAAGGCACCUAUGCAUUGGAGAUGGUUUCAGUGAUUAAUACAGCUCUGGCAUAGGCAGGCACAACUCUUAUUGACUUCAGUCAGUGUUGCACUGGAUUACCCUAGGGAUGAGUUUGAUCCUCAGACUCUUUCUAGUAAUGAGUGCUCUGGCAAGAGCAUUAAGCACCACAAGCAGAGAAUUAGCAGGUCCAGAAUUAUCCAUGCUGUCAACAGAAAUGGAGAGCAAGCAGGAGACUGGAGGAAAAUAUUGUGUGUGCUUUACUGGUUUGCAAAUGUACGCUCACUAAAUCAGCAGCAACACAUUGACAAAGCUAGGAUUUUUUUCUGCUCCCUUCUAACAGGAUGUAAAAAAAUACUUAUUUAAUAGUGUAAGGCAUUUAUUCAGAUGCAUUAAUGGCAAGGAAAAGUAGGUAGUUAGAUAGUAAGAAAUGUGAGAAAACUUGAUGUGAUGUUGUCUUUGAGAGGUAUUUAAAUUACAGAAAAACACUUCAUAUACAAAAGUUGCAAAGCAGUAGAUAUCCCACCUUGAAAAUAGAUCAUCAAUAUCUUAACAUGAAUAAGGUAGCUCAGAUUGGCAGUACAAGCAGUCUGGGGGUGUUUAUGUCUGUUCUUGUUAAAACUGCUCAGUUCCUCUCCAAACUCCAAGUAAAGCCUUUCCGUUCAAUUUGAUUUUAUUUCAUGACAGGGCAAGGGCUACUCUCUGAAGGAAAGGACUACAUUUUAAUAAUCUCAAAUAGAAAAAAAAAGAUAUCCAGAUAGAAGAAAAAAACCAGCAGCAGGCAUCAAAUGAGACAGAAAGAAGUAACAAAGAAAUCAGCAGUCUCACUGAAACGAUUCUCAUCUGAAACAGGUGAAGGACUUAAUUCAGAAAGCUACUAAGUAAUGCCUACAUUGCUUUUAUACCUUAAUCUUCUUUGGUGAGAAUGAGUUUCAUAUCCAGAAGACAAAUCAAGCACUCAAACGAUCACGGUGCAUUUUAAGAAAUUGUACUUCUGGCUGCAGAAUUCUGGAUCAAUCAAUUUGGGAGAAGACUUAACAGUCAACUAUGGUCAGCAUGGAAUCAUUUGAAGGUGCUGAAUGGAGCUUGUGAAAUCAGCAAAACAAAUUACUUUAACGAUACUACUUACAUGAGUAAUGCAGAUGAGCUUCUUCCCCGGAGUCAUUUGUAUCUAUUUAAGACAGUAAGUAUUGCUGAAUAAUGACAGAAACACUAUGUAUAUUUUUAAAGGAAAUCAGUACGAAAAGAAAAUCUACAGAUUUAUCACUUCUCCCUGAGACAAUGCCUGGAGCUGUGCUUGGUUUAAUUAUUUUUAGGGACGUGAUCAAUCAACGUAGCAACCGCGGCACAGUAUAUCCAAUACACUGAAAAUCUAAGCAACUAUCAAGCAAGUACAUGCUGUAAAGUGUCUGUUAAAUACCGAUUAGCGCUGUGAAGCUGGAGAUCCAGAAGCUGCUACAGCAGCUUGUCAGAGGCAGCUGCAGACCCUUGCAGUGCCUAUAUACCAUUUUUUCCCCCCCUAAAUACUGCAGUCAAAACAGUUUGAUGUCAAAUCAUUUGUCAUCUAUCUUUAUGCUUCUGCUGAACGAAGGCUAAAGCAGAGGGUAUUGGCAUACAGAAGCAUUUUAUAACUAUGGAAUCAGUAAUUGUUUAAUCGUGUGAAAGCAAAAGCAAAGAGUGGACUGGGAGCUGUGAGCAUGGGGCAUUUGGUGUGUCUGUGAGAUGGGUCCUGGUGGGAAAAAAAGGCCAUCUUCUGCUCAUUAAAGUAUUACCCAUUUCAAUGCAGAAUUAAUCUCCCUCUUACUUUUGUCGAAAGGAUUUAUGUGUUUGUACUGUCCAUGAACCGAUAAGACACAGCCACACACAGCUUGCCUGCUAAGCAAAGCAGGAAACAACAACCACCACAAAAACCCCGAAAAAAGAUAUUUUCCUGUCAUAACCUUUCCUUCCUUCUUUCUUUCUUUCUUUCCUUCCUUCCUUCCUUCAUUCCUUCCUUCCUUCCUUCUUUCUUUCCUUCCUUCCUUCCUUCCUUCCUUCCUGCCUUCCUGCCUUCCUUCCUGCCUUCCUUUUCAUCCUUCUUUUCCUUCCUUUCCUUCCUUAGUUAUGGAUAGCUUUUCACACACCUGUAUGCGUGCAACAACCAAAGUGCCCAGGAACAGCAGGAACAUCGCAUAUUCUGCAAUAUUCCUCACAAGGCAUACAGACAAAGAGAAAAAAAAGAUGUUAACCUCCCCCAACAAACAUAGCUGAAAACUUUUCUUCGGGGGAAAAGGGAAAAAAAGCUUGUUGCACUCCCCCCCCCCCA